Molecule: ribosomal RNA, 305 nt
Filed under: Klebsiella variicola
Lineage: Bacteria; Pseudomonadati; Pseudomonadota; Gammaproteobacteria; Enterobacterales; Enterobacteriaceae
Description: partial 16S ribosomal RNA
Rfam family: Bacterial small subunit ribosomal RNA
Source: RNAcentral
AAAUUGAAGAGUUUGAUCAUGGCUCAGAUUGAACGCUGGCGGCAGGCCUAACACAUGCAAGUCGAGCGGUAGCACAGAGAGCUUGCUCUCGGGUGACGAGCGGCGGACGGGUGAGUAAUGUCUGGGAAACUGCCUGAUGGAGGGGGAUAACUACUGGAAACGGUAGCUAAUACCGCAUAACGUCGCAAGACUCAAGUGGGGGACCUUCGGGCCUCAUGCCAUCAGAUGUGCCCAGCUGGGAUUAGCUGGUAGGUGGGGUAACGGCUCACCUAGGCGACGACCCCUAGCUCGUCUGAGAGGAUGAC